AUAAAAUACUUGGGGUACCCGCCAUCGGCGGGUUGAGAUUAAACCCAUUGAACCUGAUCUGGAUAAUACCAGCGAAGGGAAACAAAGUCAAUUAAGA
RNAcentral lists this non-coding RNA (97 nucleotides) under Candidatus Microgenomates bacterium. RNAcentral describes it as "Microgenomates Gottesmanbacteria TPP sequence". It matches the Rfam family "TPP riboswitch aptamer (THI element)". Rfam says of the family: Vitamin B(1) in its active form thiamin pyrophosphate (TPP) is an essential coenzyme that is synthesised by coupling of pyrimidine and thiazole moieties in bacteria. The previously detected thiamin-regulatory element, thi box was extended, resulting in a new, highly conserved RNA secondary structure, the THI element, which is widely distributed in eubacteria and also occurs in some archaea. Lineage: Bacteria; Candidatus Microgenomatota. The record is from RNAcentral.